Molecule: long non-coding RNA, 452 nt
Filed under: Heterocephalus glaber (naked mole-rat)
Lineage: Eukaryota; Metazoa; Chordata; Mammalia; Rodentia; Bathyergidae
Description: lncRNA (ENSHGLG00000030090.2)
Source: RNAcentral
AGGGAACAAGCGCUUGUUUUACUCAGGCCUGCUGAAGCCACAGUGUGCUUUUCUAGGCAAACAUCAGGUCUGCUCUGCAUUAAUUCCGAGAGAUUGCAAAGGGAACAGAGGAUGAAAAGAUUGUUUGUUUCAGUGUCCUUUCACACUCUGACCACUGUCGGCUGGACAUGCUUUGUUUGGUCAUCACUACUAAUAGGGUGGAGACUGGAGAGCCAACAAUGCAUGUACACCUUAGCUGAGAACAUCAAGACAUGGAUGUCUGCACUGGGGCUUCUUUGUGGCAUGACCAGCUGUUGCAGAGUCAGGGAGCAAUAUCCACCCCUGGACAGUGCAUAAAAUGAAGGCUUUGCUCCUCUACCACGUCAUCCCCAACAACAAUCAGCAGAAAAGUGAAACCUGAACUUGAAAUAGCUAUGGAAGCAUGAAUUUUGCCUUAAUAAAAUAAUAGCCUC